GCGUCUGUAGCCUAGUUGGUAAAGGCAGCACUCUAGUAUGUGUCUCAGCAUUGCUGAGGUUGUGAGUUCGACUCUCACCAGACACA
Molecule: transfer RNA, 86 nt
Filed under: Puccinia graminis f. sp. tritici
Lineage: Eukaryota; Fungi; Basidiomycota; Pucciniomycetes; Pucciniales; Pucciniaceae
Also listed under: 1 other name
Rfam family: tRNA
About the family: Transfer RNA (tRNA) molecules are approximately 80 nucleotides in length. Their secondary structure includes four short double-helical elements and three loops (D, anti-codon, and T loops).
Source: Rfam by way of RNAcentral